UUGGCCCUGCAAGGGUGAGUCUCAGGAUGAGACGAAUAGCCCUGCGUUCAGGUUCAAGCCGAGCGAAGCGAGACAGCAACGCGUCAGCGUUGACCCGAAGGGCGAGGCCGGAGGCCGAGUCAUCCUGCACGACCCACCA
This 139-nucleotide small RNA is filed under the name Brenneria roseae subsp. roseae. Its description in RNAcentral is "RtT sRNA". It matches the Rfam family "RtT RNA". From Rfam's summary of the family: This family represents a bacterial cis-regulatory element known as RtT RNA. The exact function of RtT is unknown although it is thought that it may be involved in changing the cellular response in relation to amino acid starvation. Lineage: Bacteria; Pseudomonadati; Pseudomonadota; Gammaproteobacteria; Enterobacterales; Pectobacteriaceae. The record is from RNAcentral.